GAUGAACGCUGGCGGCGUGCCUAAUACAUGCAAGUCGAACGAAGCCUUCGGGCUUAGUGGCGGACGGGUGAGUAACACGUUGGUACCUACCCCUAAGUGGGGAAUAACUGCCCGAAAGGGUGGCUAAUACCGCAUAAUCCCGCAAGGGUAAAGCAGUAAUGCGCUUAGGGAGGGGCCUGCGUCCCAUUAGCUUGUUGGUAGUGUAAUGGACUACCAAGGCGACGAUGGGUAGCUGGAUCGAGAGGUGACCAGCCACACUGGGACUGAGAUACGGCCCAGACUCCUACGGGAGGCAGCAGUGGGGAAUCUUGCCGCAAUGGGCGAAAGCCUGACGCAGCGAUGCCGCGUGAGGGAAGAAGGCCU
Molecule: ribosomal RNA, 363 nt
Filed under: uncultured bacterium
Lineage: Bacteria
Description: bacterial SSU rRNA
Rfam family: Bacterial small subunit ribosomal RNA
Source: RNAcentral